This 408-nucleotide ribosomal RNA is filed under the name uncultured bacterium. RNAcentral's name for it is "partial 16S ribosomal RNA". It matches the Rfam family "Bacterial small subunit ribosomal RNA", at positions 28 to 526 of the family's 1533-position model. The record is from RNAcentral.
GACGAACGCUGGCGGCGUGCUUAACACAUGCAAGUCGAACGAAGUGGCGAACGGGUGAGUAACGCGUAAUCAACCUGCCCUUCAGAGGGGGACAACAGUUGGAAACGACUGCUUAUACCGCAUACUGAAGGAGGGGAUUGCGUCUGAUUCGUUAGUUGGAGGGGUAACGGCCCACCAAGGCGAUGAUCAGUAGCCGGGCUGAGAGGAUGGACGGCGUCAGUGGGACUGGGACACGGCCCAGACUCCUACGGGAGGCAGCAGUGGGGGAACUGGCGCAAUGGGCGAAAGUCUGGCGGAGCAACGCCGCGGGAGUGAUGACGGGCUUCGGGUUGUAAAGCUCUUGUAAUCGGGACGCGGUACCGGAAUAGAAAGCCACGGCUAACUACGUGCCAGCAGCCGCGGUAAUUC